GACAUCUCCUCUAUCUUAUAUUUCACUCAGUUAUUUCAUGUAUUCGAGGCAAAUAGUGUUUUAUUUCUUUCAAAUUGUUGUAUCUAGUACUCUUAGUAGUCCGUAUAUGUUGCGACACCAGUUCUUGGGUAGAGGCAUAUGUUGAUUACCGCAAUAUUGAAUAGCUUAUUUAAUUUAAUCCUUCCGCUUUAAUUUCAUAUCCUGUUGUUAUUGAAAUAUUUAACUCUUGUUGUUAUGAUUCAUAAAAGGAUUUCAAAUAAAAUAGUUAGGAGUUUAUGAUGGCUUGCCUACAUGUAGGCGCCAUCCCAACAUCCGAGGGUGGAAAAUCUAGAUCGUGACAAAGUAAUGCGAAACUUUCAAGUUCGUACAACUAUGAAGUUGUAACCUAGAAUCAACAACAAUAUGCUUCGAUUCCAUUAGCGCAUGACACUUCUGCAAAGUCACUAAAUAGGUUUUCGAUAUGCUGUUCAACCAAACCCAGAAUGGCAGUUCUAUUAAACAAAGGAAAACAGAAACUAAACUAUUUCUCAAGACAUUUAUCAAGAGAGCUGUUGUUCCAAAAAGUUCUUCACAAUCCCUUGUAUGCUGUCCCAUCCAACUAUAAUCUGCCCGAAAAUGUAGAUUUCAGAUGAAUAGAUAGAUCUAAUCAUACGAUCCUAACUUCAAGCAAAAAGAUUCAACAGCACUGCAAGCCUCAAUUAUAACUGCUCAAGGCUAUUUAAGGUAAAUAAACAAUGCAAACCAAUAUAAGUCAAGAUUACUUGUAUCCUGCAACAAGAACACAAUCAUAGACCUUGAUGCUGUUGACGAAGCAAGGUAGUAAAACACAGCAUUUCAUGCAGCUAUCAUAGAAAAAUGUGACUUGCCAAGAGUCGCAAGAAAAUCUCAAUGCGCAUGUACAUCAUCUAAAAUGCACCAAAGAAAUACUUCAUGAUGAACCAAGAUACAAUAACAUUUGGUAUGCCACAUGGGUAAGGCCAAUAAUAAAAAACAUGAACUUUAAUCCAUAAGUGGAAAUCCUUAGUUCUUCUUGAUGAUUGUCCAAAUGUUUGGCUUUGAAAGCUCCUUGAUCCUUCUUGAAGAUUGUCCUUCUU
Molecule: long non-coding RNA, 1094 nt
Filed under: Nicotiana benthamiana
Lineage: Eukaryota; Viridiplantae; Streptophyta; Magnoliopsida; Solanales; Solanaceae
Description: long non-coding RNA (NBEN_LNC034285)
Source: RNAcentral